Molecule: ribosomal RNA, 253 nt
Filed under: uncultured bacterium
Lineage: Bacteria
Description: partial 16S ribosomal RNA
Rfam family: Bacterial small subunit ribosomal RNA
Source: RNAcentral
UACGAAGGGAGCUAGCGUUGUUCGGAAUCACUGGGCGUAAAGGGCGCGUAGGCGGCUUUAUAAGUCGGGGGUGAAAGCCUGUGGCUCAACCACAGAAUUGCCUUCGAUACUGUAUGGCUUGAGACCGGAAGAGGUAAGUGGAACUGCGAGUGUAGAGGUGAAAUUCGUAGAUAUUCGCAAGAACACCAGUGGCGAAGGCGGCUUACUGGUCCGGUUCUGACGCUGAGGCGCGAAAGCGUGGGGAGCAAACAGG